CAGUCUUCUGACGUUACUCAUGCCGUUCGUGUUGUCAAAAACGUCACUUGCUUAAGCUCACUAUUGUUCUCAAAUACCGUUUGAUUUUCGUUGUUUGAUGGCGUGACUGCGCGCGCGCGCGAGGAUUGUUGAUGUUGCUUACACGCGCGCAGACUACAUUUCCCGCUAAAAAUUGUUUCUGAUGCACGCACUUCGAGAAGAUUUCCGAUCUUUUGUUGAGUAGAUUUUGUCGCGAGAUUUUAAAAUCAGCAGCUUCUCUUGCAAGCAUAGGUUGCAUCUGGGUCUUCCGCUUGUGUAUGGGACAGCCUUCUUCAGAAUGGACCAAGUGGUGUUGUAAGGUCUUCCGCUUCUCUUCAAUUUCCAAAUAUGCUUCGAUAGCUCCGUUUCGUUCGCAUAUCUCUGAAGCUCGAAUGAUUUUUUAUGGUUUCUGUACCUGUCUUUGAAUUCCCCAGCUGUUACCCCAAUAUACCGCUUCGUUUCACCGUUGUCGUGACUCUUUACUUCGGCUUGGUACACGAUAGCUUGGGUCAGACAUUUCUUCUGGAGGGGG
Paramuricea clavata is the source of this 550-nucleotide non-coding RNA. Lineage: Eukaryota; Metazoa; Cnidaria; Anthozoa; Malacalcyonacea; Plexauridae. The record is from the annotation of a GenBank genome assembly.